GGUCCCGUGGUGUAGCGGUUAACAUGCCUGCCUGUCACGCAGGAGAUCGCGGGUUCGAAUCCCGUCGGGACCG
This 73-nucleotide transfer RNA is filed under the name Mammaliicoccus sciuri. RNAcentral describes it as "tRNA-Asp". It matches the Rfam family "tRNA". From Rfam's summary of the family: Transfer RNA (tRNA) molecules are approximately 80 nucleotides in length. Their secondary structure includes four short double-helical elements and three loops (D, anti-codon, and T loops). The record is from RNAcentral. RNAcentral also lists the same sequence under 1 other name. Lineage: Bacteria; Bacillati; Bacillota; Bacilli; Caryophanales; Staphylococcaceae.